GUGGGGAAUUUUGCGCAAUGGGCGAAAGCCUGACGCAGCAACGCCGCGUGCGGGAUGAAGGCCUUCGGGUUGUAAACCGCUUUCAGCAGGGAUGAAAUUGACAGUACCUGCAGAAGAAGCCCCGGCUAACUACGUGCCAGCAGCCGCGGUAAUACGUAGGGGGCAAGCGUUAUCCGGAUUUAUUGGGCGUAAAGAGCGCGUAGGCGGCUUGUUAAGUCAGAUGUGAAAACCGGGGGCUCAACCCGCGGCCUGCAUCUGAAACUGGCAGGCUUGAGUCUGGUAGAGGAAAGUGGAAUUCCCAGUGUAGCGGUGAAAUGCGCAGAUAUUGGGAGGAACACCAGUGGCGAAGGCGGCUUUCUGGGCCACGACUGACGCUGAGGCGCGAAAGCUAGGGGAGCGAACAGGAUUAGAAACCCUUGUAGUCC
Molecule: ribosomal RNA, 425 nt
Filed under: uncultured bacterium
Lineage: Bacteria
Description: partial 16S ribosomal RNA
Rfam family: Bacterial small subunit ribosomal RNA
Source: RNAcentral